UCGAGCGGAACGCCGAACCCUGCCGCCGAUCGAGGUUCCGUACUACUCGCCGGCAGGGGCGGGGGACCCAAAUCGUGGGCACCGGUGACGGUGUCCUUGGGGUGAAGCCGGGCGGACGGUCCUCGGAUCGUGCGCCUGACCGGGUGUUCUCCCACCCGAACCCGACAGCUGACCUCGCAGGCGCACGGAGAGGCACA
RNAcentral lists this small RNA (197 nucleotides) under Cellulomonas sp. Its description in RNAcentral is "c-di-AMP sequence". It matches the Rfam family "c-di-AMP riboswitch aptamer (ydaO/yuaA leader)". From Rfam's summary of the family: This family represents a conserved RNA structure found upstream of the ydaO and yuaA genes in Bacillus subtilis and related genes in other bacteria. The ydaO/yuaA element is thought to act as a genetic "off" switch for the ydaO and yuaA genes in its native state. Lineage: Bacteria; Bacillati; Actinomycetota; Actinomycetes; Micrococcales; Cellulomonadaceae. The record is from RNAcentral.